UGGUUUCUCUUAAUGAAAAGUUGUUUAUCUUCUACCCAGUGUGAAUCCUGUUUGACAAAGAAUAUCGCGCAGUCAGCAUUUCAGAGUGGCACGAAAGAGCCUGUGUCGUCAAACCACUUUGCCAGAGCUGCCUUCUCCCCACCCUGUUUGUUUGCCUGCCAAAGACUGGUACCUGUCAGUGUUAGAACUAAAACUUACAUCUGCUAAAUCCUAGCUAGACUGGACUUACAGGACUGCUGCAGUGUUCGGAACCAUCGCCUGCCCUUCCUGGAAUUUCUCGUUUCGGGCUGCUCAUGUUGCACUCAGCCUCCUUGACCAGAAAGAGUUGUUCAUCCAGAGCCUCCUUCUGAAGUUGCAGUUUCUGUACAUAGCCUGUCUGGGUCUCCAGCUCCUUUUCCAGGGAAAAGAUGAUCCUGUCCUUGGCUUUGAUUUCAUCCAUCUGAAUUAAAUGAGACCCAGGACAUUUUAUUUAACA
Molecule: long non-coding RNA, 475 nt
Organism: Saimiri boliviensis boliviensis (Bolivian squirrel monkey)
Lineage: Eukaryota; Metazoa; Chordata; Mammalia; Primates; Cebidae
Source: RefSeq, a predicted model, not a curated record